RNAcentral lists this ribosomal RNA (301 nucleotides) under uncultured bacterium. RNAcentral's name for it is "partial 16S ribosomal RNA". It matches the Rfam family "Bacterial small subunit ribosomal RNA", at positions 509 to 807 of the family's 1533-position model. The record is from RNAcentral.
CAGCAGCCACGGUAAUACGAAGGGGGCUAGCGUUGUUCGGAAUUACUGGGCGUAAAGCGCACGUAGGCGGAUAUUUAAGUCAGGGGUGAAAUCCCGCAGCUCAACUGCGGAAUUGCCUUUGAUACUGGGUAUCUUGAGUAUGGAAGAGGUUAGUGGAAUUGCGAGUGUAGAGGUGAAAUUCGUAGAUAUUCGCAGGAACACCAGUGGCGAAGGCGGCUAACUGGUCCAUAACUGACGCUGAGGUGCGAAAGCGUGGGGAGCAAACAGGAUUAGAUACCCGUGUAGUCCCUGUCUCUUAUAC